RNAcentral lists this ribosomal RNA (440 nucleotides) under uncultured bacterium. RNAcentral describes it as "partial 16S ribosomal RNA". It matches the Rfam family "Bacterial small subunit ribosomal RNA", at positions 338 to 795 of the family's 1533-position model. The record is from RNAcentral.
CCUACGGGUGGCAGCAGUGGGGAAUAUUGCACAAUGGGGGAAACCCUGAUGCAGCGACGCCGCGUGAGCGAUGAAGUAUUUCGGUAUGUAAAGCUCUAUCAGCAGGGAAGAAAAUGACGGUAACUGACUAAGAAGCCUCGGCUAACUACGUGCCAGAAGCCGCGGUCAUACGUAGGGGGCAAGCGUUAUCCGGAUUUACUGGGUGUAAAGGGAGCGUAGGUGGCUGUGCAAGCCAGAUGUGAAAGCCCGGGGCUCAACCCCGGGACUGCAUUUGGAACUGGGUGGCUGGAGUGUCGGAGAGGCAUGCGGAAUUCCUAGUGUAGCGGUGAAAUGCGUAGAUAUUAGGAAGAACACCAGUGGCGAAGGCGGCCUUCUGGACGAUAACUGACGUUGAGGCUCGAAAGCGUGGGGAGCAAACAGGAUUAGAUACCCGAGUAGUC